This 252-nucleotide ribosomal RNA is filed under the name uncultured bacterium. Its description in RNAcentral is "partial 16S ribosomal RNA". It matches the Rfam family "Bacterial small subunit ribosomal RNA", at positions 524 to 776 of the family's 1533-position model. The record is from RNAcentral.
UACGUAGGGUGCAAGCGUUGUCCGGAAUUAUUGGGCGUAAAGAGCUCGUAGGCGGUUUGUCGCGUCGAAUGUGAAAACCCGGGGCUCAACCCCGGGCCUGCAUUCGAUACGGGCAGACUAGAGUUCGGUAGGGGAGUCUGGAAUUCCUGGUGUAGCGGUGAAAUGCGCAGAUAUCAGGAGGAACACCGGUGGCGAAGGCGGGACUCUGGGCCGAUACUGACGCUGAGGAGCGAAAGCGUGGGAGCGAACAGG